UCUUCACCCUGCAACAGUUAGGGAACCAGGCAUCAAGCAAGUGGACUUCACAACAUCGACACCAUUAGUAGGAUACCAACUGGCAGCAGUUCCAGGAGAAGAAGAACUUAUGCUUGUAGCUGGAACCUGCUUUGCAUUCACAGAUUGAGGUCUUUGCAUCAUGAUGACUGGUUCCCUAACUGUUGCAGGGUGAAGAUUCUUAUAUUCACUUCCAACAGCCACAAAACGUGCUUCUGUCUU
Molecule: unclassified non-coding RNA, 240 nt
Filed under: Hevea brasiliensis (rubber tree)
Lineage: Eukaryota; Viridiplantae; Streptophyta; Magnoliopsida; Malpighiales; Euphorbiaceae
Source: RNAcentral